This 404-nucleotide ribosomal RNA is filed under the name Actinomycetes bacterium. Its description in RNAcentral is "Actinobacteria bacterium partial 16S ribosomal RNA". It matches the Rfam family "Bacterial small subunit ribosomal RNA", at positions 355 to 776 of the family's 1533-position model. The record is from RNAcentral. Lineage: Bacteria; Bacillati; Actinomycetota; Actinomycetes.
UGGGGAAUAUUGGACAAUGGGCGCAAGCCUGAUCCAGCCAUGCCGCGUGAGUGAUGAAGGCCCUAGGGUUGUAAAGCUCUUUCACCGGUGAAGAUAAUGACGGUAACCGGAGAAGAAGCCCCGGCUAACUUCGUGCCAGCAGCCGCGGUAAUACGAAGGGGGCUAGCGUUGUUCGGAUUUACUGGGCGUAAAGCGCACGUAGGCGGACUAUUAAGUCAGGGGUGAAAUCCCGGGGCUCAACCCCGGAACUGCCUUUGAUACUGGUAGUCUUGAGUUCGAGAGAGGUGCGUGGAAUUCCGAGUGUAGAGGUGAAAUUCGUAGAUAUUCGGAGGAACACCAGUGGCGAAGGCGGCUCACUGGCUCGAUACUGACGCUAAGGUGCGAAAGCGUGGGGAGCAAACAGG